Molecule: long non-coding RNA, 1252 nt
Organism: Dioscorea cayenensis subsp. rotundata (Guinea yam)
Lineage: Eukaryota; Viridiplantae; Streptophyta; Magnoliopsida; Dioscoreales; Dioscoreaceae
Exons: 3
Source: RefSeq, a predicted model, not a curated record
AGAGAGAGAGAGAGAGAGAGAGAGAUUCCGGGAUCGAAAAACUUCCGACCUUCGAACGUCCGGUGAGCAUUGGAGACAAUUGAGAAAGUUCUCCAUAUUAGAGCUCUUUAGCAAGAAGAGAGUGCAGUCCUUUAAGAGAGUGAAAGUAGAUGGAGUGCAUGUCUUGAUCCAAACUAAGGCAUUCUUGCUCUCAAGAUGCAAAUCCAUUGGUGAUUUCUUCCCUUCUUUGCAAUACUUGAUCAUUAUGGUCACUGGAUUUCUUGAAAGCUUGUGAGCCGGAUAAGCCCGGGUUGGUCGCCACUUCUCUCUUUAAUCCUAUCUUCGAGAGAAGCCUUGCUUUUCUCCUUGAUGGCUGCCACCUUGAUAUUGUAGUUCCUCCUAGUCAUCACACCAAGACCACUUGAGAAGUGGCUUUGGGUCUUCGCAUUUUGUCUUGGACUAGAGUAUUUUCGAGAUCAAGAGUGAUAGACCAGCGUGGAUCUUGAAAGAUUGUCUGUGGAUGUUUUCUUAUCCUAUUGUAAAUUUUGAGUUCUUGUCAUUGUCUAUCCCUGUAUUCCUAUAUUUUGUAUUUUGGACUUCUAUAUCCCCAUAUUUUGUACUAUGUAGAGUCUGUAACCCAGUGACUUAGUUGGUUCUUUAUAAGUUAUUUGCUCUAAAUAAAGUUCUGAGGCCUUGCAGGCUUAUAGGGUUUACGCCCUGUGGGUCUGCGGCCGUUUGUCCAUAUGACGGAUCCAGCCGGGCGGGGUUCGGGGCGUGACAAUUAGUGGAUGCUUAUUGAAGGUCAACUUCCUCUUCAAAGCUCUCUUAUUCUUUUUCUUCUUCAAAGUAACUCAACCCUUGGAGCUUUUGGUGUCUAAAGAAGGUUGAAACUCAGUUUAUCUCUUGAAGCUCUUGGUGACGGAAGAAGGAAACUCUUCACCAGCAUUUGAUCACCGGCAAGCUUAUAGGUAGGUCAUCCCUGCUAUUGUAGAUCGUUGCGGGUCUUGGUGUCAAAUUGAAACCAUGUUGAAAUGCUAGUCUAGUUCUGAUGUUCUGUUUUGUUUUUAUUAAUUACUUGCAAGCAGUCCUUGACUGUUGACAUGUGUUCUGGUUUUGAGUUCUGAAAGUUUAACUACUUUGCUUUCUAUUUUCCUCUCAUGUCCAUGCAUGGAAAUUACAUCUUGGAUUAUUUUAUUCUCCUUGUAAGCAUGCAGUCUUAGUAUAAUUCAUUAUAUUUAUGUAUAUAUAAAUGCUUCUAAGCAUGAGAUUUUGU